GGGCUCAGUAGUAGAGCAUCUGCUUUGCACGCCGAAAGUCCAAGGUUUAAUCCCUGGCAUUUCCA
Molecule: non-coding RNA, 65 nt
Organism: Podarcis lilfordi (Lilford's wall lizard)
Lineage: Eukaryota; Metazoa; Chordata; Lepidosauria; Squamata; Lacertidae
Source: the annotation of a GenBank genome assembly